Molecule: ribosomal RNA, 474 nt
Filed under: uncultured bacterium
Lineage: Bacteria
Description: partial 16S ribosomal RNA
Rfam family: Bacterial small subunit ribosomal RNA
Source: RNAcentral
GAUGAACGCUAGCGGCAGGCCUAACACAUGCAAGUCGAGGGAGGAGCCUUCGGGCUUCGACCGGCGUACGGGUGCGUAACGCGUAUACAAUCUGCCUUUCACAUAGGGAUAGCCCGAAGAAAUUUGGAUUAAUACCUAAUGGUAUAUAGAUGUGGCAUCACCUUUAAAUUAAAGCUGAGGCGGUGAAAGAUGAGUAUGCGUUCUAUUAGCUAGUUGGAGAGGUAACGGCUCCCCAAGGCGACGAUAGAUAGGGGUUCUGAGAGGGAUAUCCCCCACACUGGUACUGAGAUACGGACCAGACUCCUACGGGAGGCAGCAGUGAGGAAUAUUGGACAAUGGUCGGAAGACUGAUCCAGCCAUGCCGCGUGCAGGAAGACGGCCUUAUGGGUUGUAAACUGCUUUUGCAGGGGAAGAAUAAGGACUACGCGUAGUUUGAUGACGGUACUCUGCGAAUAAGCAUCGGCUAACUCCGUG